UGCUGUGAACUCGAAGAGUAGGGCGGGACACGUGGUAUCCUGUCUGAAUAUGGGGGGACCAUCCUCCAAGGCUAAAUACUCCUGACUGACCGAUAGUGAACCAGUACCGUGAGGGAAAGGCGAAAAGAACCCCGGCGAGGGGAGUGAAAAAGAACCUGAAACCGUGUACGUACAAGCAGUGGGAGCCUCUUUAUGGGGUGACUGCGUACCUUUUGUAUAAUGGGUCAGCGACUUAUAUUCUGUAGCAAGGUUAACCGUAUAGGGGAGCCGAAGGGAAACCGAGUCUUAACUGGGCGUUAAGUUGCAGGGUAUAGACCCGAAACCCGGUGAUCUAGCCAUGGGCAGGUUGAAGGUUGGGUAACACUAACUGGAGGACCGAACCGACUAAUGUUGAAAAAUUAGCGGAUGACCUGUGGCUGGGGGUGAAAGGCCAAUCAAACCGGGAGAUAGCUGGUUCUCCCCGAAAGCUAUUUAGGUAGCGCCUCGUGAACUCAUCUUCGGGGGUAGAGCACUGUUUCGGCUAGGGGGCCAUCCCGGCUUACCAACCCGAUGCAAACUACGAAUACCGAAGAAUGUUAUCACGGGAGACACACGGCGGGUGCUAACGUCCGUCGUGAAGAGGGAAACAACCCAGACCGCCAGCUAAGGUCCCAAAGUCAUGGUUAAGUGGGAAACGAUGUGGGAAGGCACAGACAGCCAGGAUGUUGGCUUAGAAGCAGCCAUCAUUUAAAGAAAGCGUAAUAGCUCACUGGUCGAGUCGGCCUGCGCGGAAGAUGUAACGGGGCUAAACCAUGCACCGAAGCUGCGGCAGCGACACUAUGUGUUGUUGGGUAGGGGAGCGUUCUGUAAGCCGUUGAAGGUGUGCUGUGAGGCAUGCUGGAGGUAUCAGAAGUGCGAAUGCUGACAUAAGUAACGAUAAAGCGGGUGAAAAGCCCGCUCGCCGGAAGACCAAGGGUUCCUGUCCAACGUUAAUCGGGGCAGGGUGAGUCGACCCCUAAGGCGAGGCCGAAAGGCGUAGUCGAUGGGAAACAGGUUAAUAUUCCUGUACUUGGUGUUACUGCGAAGGGGGGACGGAGAAGGCUAUGUCAGCCGGGCGACGGUUGUCCCGGUUUAAGCAUGUAGGCGGAGGUUCCAGGUAAAUCCGGUACCUUUUUAACGCUGAGGUGUGAUGACGAGGCACUACGGUGCUGAAGUGAUAAAUGCCCUGCUUCCAGGAAAAGCCUCUAAGCAUCAGGUAACACGAAAUCGUACCCCAAACCGACACAGGUGGUCAGGUAGAGAAUACCAAGGCGCUUGAGAGAACUCGGGUGAAGGAACUAGGCAAAAUGGUGCCGUAACUUCGGGAGAAGGCACGCUGAUGUGUAGGUGAAGCCCCUGCGGGCGGAGCUGAAAUCAGUCGAAGAUACCAGCUGGCUGCAACUGUUUAUUAAAAACACAGCACUGUGCAAACACGAAAGUGGACGUAUACGGUGUGACGCCUGCCCGGUGCCGGAAGGUUAAUUGAUGGGGUUAGCGGCAACGCGAAGCUCUUGAUCGAAGCCCCGGUAAACGGCGGCCGUAACUAUAACGGUCCUAAGGUAGCGAAAUUCCUUGUCGGGUAAGUUCCGACCUGCACGAAUGGCGUAAUGAUGGCCAGGCUGUCUCCACCCGAGACUCAGUGAAAUUGAACUCGCUGUGAAGAUGCAGUGUACCCGCGGCAAGACGGAAAGACCCCGUGAACCUUUACUAUAGCUUGACACUGAACACUGGUCCUUGAUGUGUAGGAUAGGUGGGAGGCUUUGAAGCGUGGACGCCAGUCUGCGUGGAGCCAACCUUGAAAUACCACCCUUUAAUGGCUGGUGUUCUAACGUAGACCCGUUACCCGGGUUGCGGACAGUGUCUGGUGGGUAGUUUGACUGGGGCGGUCUCCUCCCAAAGAGUAACGGAGGAGCACGAAGGUUGGCUAAUCCUGGUCGGACAUCAGGAGGUUAGUGCAAUGGCAUAAGCCAGCUUGACUGCGAGCGUGACGGCGCGAGCAGGUGCGAAAGCAGGUCAUAGUGAUCCGGUGGUUCUGAAUGGAAGGGCCAUCGCUCAACGGAUAAAAGGUACUCCGGGGAUAACAGGCUGAUACCGCCCAAGAGUUCAUAUCGACGGCGGUGUUUGGCACCUCGAUGUCGGCUCAUCACAUCCUGGGGCUGAAGUAGGUCCCAAGGGUAUGGCUGUUCGCCAUUUAAAGUGGUACGCGAGCUGGGUUUAGAACGUCGUGAGACAGUUCGGUCCCUAUCUGCCGUGGGCGCUGGAGAAUUGAGGGGGGCUGCUCCUAGUACGAGAGGACCGGAGUGGACGCAUCACUGGUGUUCGGGUUGUCAUGCCAAUGGCACUGCCCGGUAGCUAAAUGCGGAAGAGAUAAGUGCUGAAAGCAUCUAAGCACGAAACUUGCCCCGAGAUGAGUUCUCCCUGAGACUUUAAGUCUCCUGAAGGAACGUUGAAGACGACGACGUUGAUAGGUCGGGUGUGUAAGCGCAGCGAUGCGUUGAGCUAACCGAUACUAAUGAACCGUGAGGCUUAACCUUACAACGCCGAAGGUGUUU
RNAcentral lists this ribosomal RNA (2570 nucleotides) under Enterobacter cloacae. RNAcentral describes it as "partial 23S ribosomal RNA". It matches the Rfam family "Bacterial large subunit ribosomal RNA", at positions 395 to 2925 of the family's 2925-position model. Lineage: Bacteria; Pseudomonadati; Pseudomonadota; Gammaproteobacteria; Enterobacterales; Enterobacteriaceae. The record is from RNAcentral.